RNA transcript from Salvelinus namaycush (lake trout), 1033 nucleotides. It is a transcript of the gene named putative protein PTGES3L, with no coding region annotated. The record is from RefSeq and is a predicted model, not a curated record. The transcript is spliced from 6 exons. NCBI's taxonomy places the organism in Eukaryota, Metazoa, Chordata, Actinopteri, Salmoniformes, Salmonidae.
AGAGAUAUGUAGCUCGAGCAGCUGAUAACAUCUGAUCUAAAAAUAGUGCAGGGCCUAACAAAUAGGCUGCGAACUAUUCUGAGUAGGCUACUUGCUCUGUCAGUCAACCACAAAAGAACUAUAAAUGUCCAAGAGCGUAUUAUCUCCCUAGAACCAACAAGAUGGCUAUGUUACCGAAAAACCUUCCCAGGCCAGAGGACUGUCAAGGAGCACAGGCUCUAUGGUAUGACCGGAAAAAAUAUGUCAUCAUUAAUUUCAUGGUGCAAAACCCCAAGGAUGUUGAGGUUGAUAUUCAGGAUACCUUUAUAGUUUUAAGUUGUAAAGAUGUUGAUGACAACAGCAUCUACAAUCACAUUUGUUUCUAUGACAGAGUCAUCAAAUUUGACUCCCAAGUGAAAGUCUAUGACCGCAGUAUCCACACCUUGAUUAGGAAGGCUAAAGAAAAUGUAGCAUGGCCUCGUCUUCAGAAAGAUGCCGAUCUCAAGCCACAUUGGAUGGCUGUAGACUUUGAUAACUGGAAAGACUGGGAGAAUGAAGAGGACGAGGGAAUGGCGGAGUACGAGCAAUAUUUUGACGUACGUGUAACUGCCAAAUGGGCUUACUCUAUGUCUAUGUUUGAAGGUUUGCACAUCAGUGUGGCUUUAAUGAAUGGUUUUCCAUUUUAGAUGAUUCAGGAUAUGGGGAACAAGAAAGGAGGGCCACCUGCGAUGGAUGAUCUUGAUGAUCUGAGUGAUUGAAUACUUUUCUGAAGAGAGCUUUCCUCUGCAUUGGACAGCUUGAUGUGCAUUGAAAAUCGCUGACAAAGAUUCAUCAAAGAUCAUGUCAUGUUGAUGGAUUUGUGUAUUUAUUGAUGUUUGCUGUGAAUGCGAUGUGAAUUAAUAUAUUGAAUUGCUAGGUAUUUUUCCUGGUACUGUUGUCUGUGUAAUUUGCAGUACUAUCUAUUGAAUGUUCUUUAUUAAAUCAACUGAAGUCUUGUUUCUACUUUUCUGAUAUGUAACCUCUUAAAUAUACUGAAUAAAAAAUAUAAACGCAA